Molecule: small nucleolar RNA, 155 nt
Filed under: Loa loa (African eye worm)
Lineage: Eukaryota; Metazoa; Nematoda; Chromadorea; Rhabditida; Onchocercidae
Description: Nematode snoRNA ceN88
Rfam family: Nematode snoRNA ceN88
Source: Rfam by way of RNAcentral
GGCCUCGAUUCUUGGCGCUCUGAUGCAUAUUCAUCAGAAGUGUAUGCAUAAUCGGAGGUAGAGUAAGUUGUGCCAAGUGGCGCAGCAGUCGAAUCACCUUCGGUGUCAGGCAUUAUCCUUAGUGUUUGAUAUUAUCCUCUGGAUUCGGAACACUU